Long non-coding RNA from Loxodonta africana (African savanna elephant), 19221 nucleotides. RefSeq lists it as uncharacterized. The transcript is spliced from 3 exons. Lineage: Eukaryota; Metazoa; Chordata; Mammalia; Proboscidea; Elephantidae. The record is from RefSeq and is a predicted model, not a curated record.
GCUUCGGCCUAUAAAAGGGCCGCUGUGGCGCUUCCUCAGGAACGUGCCGCCGAAGCCGCCGCGACCCCUCCUCCUUAGAGUUGCAGCGGUGUCUGCGCCCGGCCAGUUAAUGAGAUUUAUUCACGUUCGGCUCUACUCAGCUUUACCAGGUGUUGGCAGAUCCAGUGCACAGGGAUUUCCAGCGACGGUGGUUUUCCCCCCGCCCCGUUCCUUCUCUCUCGCCCUCGUAUAUCCUUCCUUGGUUUCUUCCUCGGCCCCGGAGGCUGCGUCCCGGGCGCGCGCCUGUACAUGUGAGGGCUUGUCAGCGCCUGGUGACCUCCCUCCUCCUCGUCCUUCCCCAACGAAAUGAAGGAUUAAGAGCCUUUCAGAGAAUUUUUUGGCCCAAGGAAGAGGCCUGUGAAAGUCACCGCGUUAGCGGUGGACUCCCGGUGUUAUUCAUUAGUACGUUGUACAAGGUUUUAUUACCCGAAGGCAAAGGGGGGGGUGUGGUGAAGGAUCGUUAGACUGCUUUACCCAAGAAUCGAGAAGGGUGAAGAACAGCUACGGAAUUAAAGAGAGAAACAGAUGCAGUUGAGUUGGCCUUUGGAACUGAUGGGUUUUUAUCUGACUUGGCCACUAUUAUUGGGCGUGACCUUGGACAAAUCAUAUGGCCUCUUCGGGCCUCAGUUUUCUUAUCCUUGAAAUGACAGGGUUUCUCUUAAAAAAUACAUCCUUAAGGGUUUUUUCCUAACAAAAAAGAUUCUAAGCUAUGCGAGGCAGAAACCAUGGCUUCCAGUUCAAAAUAGGCCACCGAAUUAGGUUUUUGUCAGUCAUUUUCAGCUACCCAAAGUAGAGAUCAUUCUUUCACAUUUAUGUAUUUAUAUAAGUGCUUUAUAAUGGUUAGUAGGUUACCAUAUAUUUGAAGUAGUUUGAGAGGCCCUCGUUUGGAACCAUUGUGGGUCUUCCAAUAGGAAAAUGAAAAGGCUCAAAGGGACAGGUCACUGAAAAUUAGCUGUCUAUGAAUUCCAUAAUAUAUAAAUGCUAAUAAGAAUUUAUACUCCGAGAGAUUUGAGACUGGUUAUCACAGUAGAGUACCUCGCAGUUUUCAACCUCAGAGAAUGAUUAUAAACAGAGGUGGCAAGAUUUUUACUAAUAUGUGGGAAAUUACCUAAUAACAUUUCUAAGAGGCAAAAUUCCUGAAAUUGAUUUGAAGUUUUAGAAGACUAUAGAAGUGAUUUAAAAAUAGGAUUACCAUGCCAAAAUGCAUUUUCUCAUGAAAAUAAAUGGCUUGUGCAAGCUGAUUGUCAGAUGCACAAUACCAGUGAUUCUCAUAGUGUUCUAUGACACUAGGGUGUCCUUUCAGUUUUAAUAUUUUGGCCUUACUGAAUCACAUUUUUGGGAUUGAGCCUAGAAAUCUGUGCUGUUAACUACCUCCAUGAUUCUUAAGCAGCAUAAAAUUUAAGAAUUCCUGUACUAUAUUAUAAUCAAGUGCAUCUAUUUUUUAAAAACUAUACUGUUCCUAAACUAGAAAAAGGUAAACGCAUCAAAGUAACAGAUUAGCUGUUUCUAGAAGAGAGUAUCUUACCCUCUCUCUCAAGUCAUCAUCAUUUACUUUAAGAAAAGGUAUUUGUAAUCACAAUUCAAAUCCUUCUAGAACUCCAAGGAAUGACUCUUUACUCUUGAAGAAGAAAAAAUUUGCAACAUGAAAUUAGUUUGUUGUGUACAUUGCUUGCCAUUUAAGUUGAUACUCAAAUUAUAAACCUGAUUAAUCACUCACAAUUGUAUUUUAUAAAAAUACUCUUCCUGAAGUGAGAAAGAACACUGGAAUUUUGAGUCAGUGUGUGAGAAUUUUAAACCAUCAUUAAUUAGGUAAAUGCGUUUAGAAAAGUCACUUUAUUUUUUGUCGUUUGGUCCUCAUCUGUGAAGUGGAAAUCUAUUAAUUCUAGAAGUUAAGAAGCCUUAACUUCUCAGGGAUGUUAUAAGGUUAAAAUGAAAUAACGUAUGUGAAAGUGUAACAGUAAACUGUUGAUAUCUAGAAGUCAAACUUACCUAAGAACAGUAAAAUCACCUGCGAUUGUCUUACUUACAUACUAUAUGAAGAAUGCCAAAAUUGGACUCCAAGAAUCUACACUUAAUCCUUAAAGCAUCUCUUUUUGGAGUUGUUGAGUGACUACUCUUUGCCAGGUAAUUUGAGAUGUGGUAGAAAAUAAGAUAGACAUGGCCUCUUUCUAUAGUCUAGCAUCAUAAAAGUGUAUUUCAGUCAUAUCAUUUAACAUUAUUAUCUCCUGGUUUACUGACCUAUACUCAUCAUGUCAUACCUUUAAUAAAAAGCUUGCCCAGCCUUCUGUGCCAACACUAUUCAGCAUCUGUUAGCAUCUGCCUGUUAGCAAUUUGUAAUCUAAGACAGAAGGCAAUGGCUACCAUAAUUUUAUGGCAGAUCCGCUCAACUCAGCAGUCAUUCAGCCACCUUCUAGCUUGCUUUUCUGUACUUUGGAAGCUGGAAAGCUAAGAACUACAGUUCCCAUACUGUCUUGCAGCUAUAGUGUUGGCAGGAGACCAGUGGUAUGUUGGUGAAUGUUUAACAACAGGGGGUGGGGAGGACCCUGAUUACAGCAUUAGCCAAUUUUAAUGGUGUAAACACUCCCAAGCUACCAAAGCGACUUCACUGAAUAUGGUGUUAGUUAGGAAAAGAUGCUAACAAUUAGGAGCAGGUUUCAGCACAUCACAGCAUAUGACCUAGUUCCUAGCAACCACAUGCACCCAUUCAAGACUUGGAUGUGAAAAUGAGCAACAUUGUGCUUCAGCUUUACUCAGUGAGCUGGGAUCUUCUGGCAAACAUCAUGAUGGAGGUGUCUGGUUCCUCUGGGCAGUUGGGGAGGAGGACCGGCAUCCAUUGUUGGAGUCUUAGGUGCUGACUGGCAGCUAGUGGUGGAAUGGGUUUCCACUAGCACAGUCCUAUGAUGUAUGAUGAGUGUUCUCCCUGGUUUGGAUUUUCUUGAAUGUUGUUUCUAGUUAUGUAUUAUUCAAGCCUGUUUUUCUGGCCCUCUAAGAGGCCUGUGAGCUAAAUAUUUUUUAAUAUUUUUCUGCUUAAACUAGCUCAGUCAGGGCCAGCCACAUAAUUUGUGGGACUCAGUGCAGAGUGAAAAUGUAGAGCCCCUUGUUCAAAAACAGGAAAAAAGUGCUAUUAUAUGUACUAAAAUAUGAAGCUUUUUCUUUCUUUUGCCAUCUCUCCCAUGACCUGUCGUGGUGGUUUUUUAACUUUGCUUUUUAAUGUCAUUCUAAGUAAAGAAAAAUAAAAAUUUUGAAUUGUUAGAAUGAAUUUUACUGUUCAUUCUUACAUUGUGCAUUGCUAUUUUCAAAUGAAAAUAUUUAUAAGAGCAUUUAAUGCAUAUCUGGAAUCACUGAAAUUACAAGGUAAGCCUUGUAUUUUGUAGCUUGUGCAUACAUGUACAUUUCCUGCUUACCAGAACAGUGUAAACACCACACAAAGCUAGCUAGCGCAACUGUUUUUAUUUCCCUUUUUGAAACGCACACUUUCUACCAACAUUAUCUUCUACUUACUGAUGAGAAAGGAAGGAAAGAAAGAAAAGGGAACUGUGGGUUGCCCUAUUUUUGCUCUCCUUCUUUGUUAUCAUUUUCAGCAUAAAUGGUUGGCUGCUUACUAGGGAAAUAACACCCAAGUAAGAGAGGAUAUUCUAGAGUUCUUUGGUCAUUUCUGUUUCUUAGAAUUCCAUUUGCCUUCUUUCUGUGUUCAAAGCAAGUUCUAGUUCUAAAGGAAAGCAUGGCCUCUUGGAGCUGUCAGCGCCUCCCCCUACUCAGGCAUAGAUGUAACAAGCUGACCUUGUACAGGCUUUGUGACUUUUUGAAUUCCCGCGCAUCAUGGAUCCACCAGAAAUCUGUGCUCACCAUGCGCAUGAAAGCUAUAUGCAAGUGGGGCAUCAAGGAACAGUGGAUACACACACAGUAUGUAUUUGCUCAUGUGUGUGCUUCCAUUGUACCCUUGGACUUCACUGACAGACUAGCAGUUCAAACAAAAUGAUUAAGAUUUUCGAGGCAGCGACUGCAGAGCGUUAAACCAAGUACAGGACCCUAUGUGACUUCACAGGUUGCAUGGUCGUGAAGUGUGCCCUGAGCUCAGUGUUUCUCAAGGGGACUUCUUGCAUUUGGGUUGAAACAAUUCUUCUUUGUGCAGGACAUUGAACAUCCCUGGCCCCUGGGUACUUCAUGUCACUGUGACAGUUGGAAAUGCCCCCAAACACUUCUAAAUGCCUCCAAACAAGGAGUAGUGCUCUCCACUGAACUCGAGUGGAUCACACUGUCUGCAGGACUAUCUGGCUUGCCUGGGCUUAUCUUUCUCUUGAAAAGGGAAGAAACAUAAGAAGACAAGCAGAAACACACAAGGCCUCUUGAGGCUUAGGCUCCAAAUUGACACACUCCUUCUGUUGACUAAAGCAGGUGACCAUGCUUUGGGAUUUUCAUAGUUUGAAUAAUUCCUAUGGGCUCUGCCACCCAGCAAGUUAAAGAGGACAAGAUUCCUCCCAGGGGAUUGUGGUUCUGGGAAUGUGAGCUGCUUGUUUUCAUGAGAUCUGCACCUUGAGCUGGCCUAUCACUAGGAGCUGUUCUGGUGGUGGUGAUUUUGUUAUACUUGUUUGUUCCUUCCAUCUUACACAAAGUUUUGUAACUUGUUUGUUAUAUAGAGAUUUUUGAAACCUGAAUGCUUUAUGGGAAAAUUUUACUUAUACAAAGAAAAAUUAAAACUAUUUUAAAGUAAUUUCUCAUGUCUUAUAUGUUUCUCUUUUAAAAUAAAUGAAAGCAUGAAUUGUUGUUAUUUAGAAAGAAAAUGAAGACUAAGGAAAUGCCUGUGCUCUUAACGUUUUAACAUAAGGUAAUAUUGUUCUCUGAAUGGCGCCUUCUAAGGAAUUACCACUGUCUCAUACACAAUUGACUCAAAUGCAUUCUUUAUCUUUAAAAGGAAGCAGAAUAGGAUCUUUGAGUAAAUCACACGUGUUCGCAGUCUUGUCUGGUGUAAUCCUAUACUACGCAAACACACUAUUCUGUAGUCAGGAGGGUAAGGGGACAUUUGAAUUAGGACUUGCCCUUGAGGAGACCUCUUUCUGUUUAAAGAGAAGUGCAGUGAAAGACCACACAGUAGAAGAUAACAGGAAAUAUCUUUGAUGCCUCCCCCCACCUUUAUACUUUCUCAUUCUCCUUUGUUCUCUAAGGAUAUCUGUCGUAAUGAUUAUUCUGUAAAACUCAUAGGUACAUAGCAGAAGGCAUAUCAUAUUUCAUUUAUUAUUUUGUCAACUGUAAUUAUUGUUCUCUCUUAUAUUAUGCCAUUGUGGAUUUUUAAAAUGUUUUGUUUAUAAAAGAUGAAAAUAUGUUAUAGAAAUUUUAUUAACUGACAGAUAUCCAGAGUGUAAAUGUUUUAACUCUGAAUUUGUUAAAAUUACAUUUUUGGAAGUCUAAUAGACUUAUUAAGCUACAUCUCAAAAAUAAAUAUGAUACUGAAAAGAGAUGGCUUAAAAAGAUGGAUUUAAGUUCCCUUUUUUACAUUAAUUUCAGUGGACUUUUAGAUACUUUAAAAUGGAAAAUUAUGAAGGUGGGCAGUGUUGACACAUCAUAUUUGAAAAAUUGAUGAGAAUAUAUAUUUAGCUUGAAAGUACUGACAGGUGAAUAAAAUCAUAAAGUAUCAUAAAGUUAAGAUUAAAACAAAGUAAAAUCUAAACUUCAGUAAUUCCCUUCAGAGACUUAUAAAGAAUGCUAUCCUCACUUGAGCCAGAUUUAGUAAGGAGACCUGCUUCAAUUCAGUUUGAUUUUAUGGGGUAUGAUUUUUUUUUUUUUAAUGCCAUACUCUCACAUUUUUUUUAAGAUAGUCUUAAUUAUGAACAACAGUGAUGUGAGAUUUUGGAAGAAUCCAAACAGCUGCAUCAUUUCAGAUGUUUUCAGCAUUUUGAUAUCUGUUUUUCUAUCUAUGUUAUGGAUGCAAUUCAAACUUCAAAUUUUUAGUUCUUAUUAGUAGUGGUUCUUACAAUAUCAUUGUUACGUAUUUUCAACUUUGCCUCCCAUUUUUGCCCUGGGUUGAUGCUUUUCAUUUUGGGGAUUUUUGAAAAUUUAUGUUUGAAGGUUUGAGUUUUCUUUCAAGCCUUUUUAUUAUGAAAAUUUUCAAAUGUAUGCAAAAGUAGAGCAAAUAGCAUGACAAACCCCAAGUUCUGUUUGAGUACUAAGUGAUAUGUUAGUAUAGUUACUACCUUUGUUUAUGCAACAGGUAGUCAGGAAUUCAAGAAAUGCUUGUUCUUGAAUGCACACUUGAAAGAAUUUGUGUAAAUCAAAUCUUAAAUAUCCAACCACCUCCCAAACUAUAAGGAGCGCUGAUGGUGCAUUGGUUAAAGCACUCGGCUGAUAACCAAAAGUUUGGCAGUUUGACCCUACCAGCCGCUCCACGGGAUAAAGAUGUGGCAGUAUGCUUUCAUAAAGAUUUACAGCCUUGGAAACCCUAUGGGGCAGUUCUACCCUGUGUUAUUGGGUCUUUAUGAGUUGGCAUCAACUCGAUGGCAAUGGGAUUGGUUAUGGGUUGGUCUCAACCUAUAUGACAGGUUGUGUUUCAAAAGCUUGUUGGUAGUCAGUAAACUUUUAAAUCUACAAAUGUGUUUCCCAUAGAAACAGUCUUAAAAAGGCUAUUAGAUUUUUUGGCCAGCUCUCAGUAACCCAUCUAAUUCACAGCUAAGGGAAACCUAUCCACCAUCUUUAACAUCAUUCAAUGAGAAAAUAGAGGACAGGAGUGGUUCAGUGGUAGAAUUCUUGCCUUCCAUGUAUGAGACCUGGUUCAACUGCCAGCCAGUGCACCUCCAGCAGCCACCACCUAUCUAUCAGUGGAGGCUCAUGUGUUGCUAUGAUGCUAAACAAGUAUCAGUGGAGCUUCUAGAUUAAGACAGACUAGGAAGAAAGGCCUGACAAUCUACUUCCAAAAAUCAGCUGAUAAAAACACUAUGGAUCACAACAGUCCAAUUCCAUUGUGCAUGGGGUCCCCGUGAGUCAGGGACCGACUUGAGGGCCCAUUGUUGCUAACAACAAAAUGAGAAAAUGUCUCAUUUGCAACUGGAAUACUACAGACCACCACCGACCUUGUUGCCUUCUACUUUGUAUAGGGGUGGAAAACUUCAAAUCUCCUGCAAUGGGAAGUUCGUGUCCUUGAUGGGUCUUUAGCUCUCUCAGAAAGAUAGCGGGAGCUAAGAGAAGACAAUGGCUGGGUAUGGGCAACAUGUAUUUUAUACACUCCAUUCUGAAAUUAUUUACCACUGCCUCUGCUGGUGGAGUUUUUAUUGUUUUGUUUUUGCUUUUAAAAAAAAAAAAAGUCCUCCAUCUGAGAUGCAUCAAUUGGUCUCAACCCACAUGGAGCAAAGGAGAAUGAAGAACACCAAAGUCACAAGGUAAGUAUGAUCCCAAGAGUAAAAAUGGGCCCUGUAAAUCAGAUACUACAUCAGCUGAGACCAGAAGAACUAGAUGGUGCCUGGCUACAACUGAGGACUGCCAUGACAGGGAAUACAGCAGAGAAUCCCUGAAGGAGCAGGAGAGCAGUGAAAUGCAGACCUCAAAUUCUCAUAAAAAGACCAGAUUUAAUGGUCUGACAAAGACUAGAAGGACCCCAGAGGUCAUGGUCCCCAGGCCUUCUGUUAGCCCAAGACAGGAACCUUUCCCGAAGCCAACUGUUCAGACAGGGAUUGGACUGGACUGUAAGACAGAAAAUGAUACUGGUGAGGAGUGGGCUUCUUGGAUCAAGUAGACACAUGAGACUAUGUGUGCAGCUCCUGUCUGCAUGGGAGAUGUGAAUGCCGAGGGGGACAGAAGCUGACUGAAUGGACUUGGAAAUACACAGUGGAGAGAAGGAGUGUGCUGUCUUCUUAGGGGGAGAGCAACGAGGAGUAUAUAGCAAGGUGUAUAUAAGGUUUUGUAUGCGAGACUGACUUGAUUUGUAAACUUAAAGCACAAAAAUUUUUUUUUAAAAAGUCCUUUUUAUAAAAAAAAGAAGUAAAAAGGAAACUGUCCUUUAUAAGACAAAUACUGUAUGAUUAUUUUCUUCUAUGAUUAAGUUUCCGCUGUAAAGGUAAAUUUAUUUUAUGGGCUAAUACAUGCCUGAAACAGAAAAAAAAAUUCUUGAAUGUUAAUAUGGAAAAUUGGAAGUAUCAACACAGUUACUAAACUGCCAAAUCGCGAAAAUUAGGUGGUCGGAAUAAUGCUUAUAUUGAAGCUAUAAGUGGAAUUAGCCUUUUAGAGUAUAUGGAAAUGAUAGAUGAAAAGCAGAAAGCAGGAAGAUGGGCACCACUGCUUUUGUCAUGUCACCUAUACUCCUUUCACCCUUCCUAAAUGGAAAAAUUCCUACUCUUCCAAAUUCUUCUCUAAGCAAGACCUCGGAGCCUGUGUCAGCUUCUCCUCAUUUUAUACAUGGACACACACACACACAUAUAUAAUUAAAAGGGAAAUACAGAAAGUAUUUAUGGAUACAGCAAAAGGGGGCAAGAUUCGAAGUGUACGUUUUAAAAAGGCCAACUCAGAGUUGUUAAAUGCCAUCAAGUCAAUUCUGACUCAUAACGACCCUAUGCACAAUCAACGAAACACUGCCAGGUCGUGCGCCAUCCUCACAAUUGUUGCUAUGUUUGAGCUCAUUGUUGUAAACGCUGUGUGAGUCUCAUCUCCUUAAUGGUCUUUCUCUCUUUUGCGAACCCUCUACCUUACCAAGUAUGAUGUGCUUUUCCGGGGACUGGUCCCUACCGCUAGCAUGUCCAAAGUACAUGAGACAAAGUUUCGCCAUCCUCACUUCCAAGGAGCACUCUGGCUAUAUUUCUUCCAAGACAGAUUUGUUUGUUCUUCUGGCAGACCAUAGUAUAUUCAAUAUUCUUCUCCAACACGGUAAUUCAAAGGCAUCAAUUCUUCUUUGGUCUUCCUUAUUCCUACUCCAGCUCUCACAUUCAUAUGAAGUGAUUGAAAAUAUCAUGGUUUGGAUCAGGCACACCUUAGUCUUUCAAGUGACAUCUUUGCUUUUCAGCACUUUAAAAAGGUCUUUUGCAGCAGAUUUGCCUGAUGGAAUAUGUCAUCUGAUUUCUUGACUGCUGCUUCUAUGGGCAUUGAUUGUAGAUCCAAGUAAAAUGAAAUCCUUGACAACUUCAGUAUUUUCUCCAUUUAUCAUAAUGUUGCUUAUUGGUCCCGUUGUGAGGAUUUUUGUUUUCUUUAUGUUGAGGUGCAAUCCACACUGAAGGUUAUAGGCUCUGAUCUUCAUCAGUAAGUACUUCAAGUCUUCUUUGCUUUAGUAAGCAAAGUUGUGUCAUCUUCAUAUCACAGGUUAGUAAUGAGUCUUCCACCAAUCCUGAUGCCAUGUUCUUCUUCAUAUAAUCCAACUUCUCGGAUUGUUUGCUCAGCAUACAGAUUGAUUAAGUAUGGUGAAAGGAUACAACCCUUGUGCACACCUUUCCUGAUUUUGAACCAUGCAGUGUCCUCUUGUUCUGUUCUAACUGCCGCCGUUUGGUCUACCUACAGGUUCCUCAUGAGCACAAUUAAGUGUUCAGAAAUUACCAUUCUCUGCAGUGUUCUCCAUAAUUUGUUAUGAUCCACACAGAUGAAUUAAUUCCUUUGCAUAGUCAAUAAAACAUAGAUAAACGUCUUUCUGGUAUUCUCUGCGUUUAGCCAUGAUCCAUCAGACAUCAGCAGUGACAUCCCUCGUUCCACAUCCUCUUCUGAUCUGGCUGGAAUUUCUGGCAGUUCCCUAUUGCUGUACUGCUGCAACUGUUUUUUAAUUAUAUCCAACAAAAUUUUAUUUGCAUGUGAUACUAAUGAUAUUGUUAUAUAAUUUCCAUAUUAUGUUGGAUCACCUUUCUUUGGAAUAGGCACAAAUAUGGAUCUUUUCCACUUGGUUGGCCAGGUAACUGUCUUCCAAAUUUCUUGGCAUAGAUGAUUGAGCACCUCCAGCGCUACAUUCGUUUGUUGAAACAUUUCAAUUGUUAUUCCAUCAAUUCCUGGAGCCUUGUUUUUCACCAGUGCGUUCAGUGCAGGUUGAACUUCUUCCUUUAGUACCAUCAGUUCUUGAUCACAUGCCACCUCCUGAAAUGGUUAAAUGUCAACCAAUUCUUUUUGGUACAGUGACUCUGUAUAUUCCUUCCAUCUUCUUUUGAUGCUUCCUGCAUCAUUCAAUAUUUCUUCCAUAGAUCCUUCAGUAUUGCAACUUGAGGCUUAAAUUUUUUCUUCAGUUCUUUCAGCUUGAGAAAUGCCGAGUGUGUUCUUCCCUUUGGGAUUCCUAACUGCAGAUUUUUGCAUGUUUCAUUAUAAUACUUUAUCUUCUCAAGCUUCUCUUUGAAAUCUUUUGUUUAGCUCUUUUACUUCAUCAUUUCUUCCAUCCAUUCACUUUAGCUACUCUUUGUUCAAGAGCAAGUUUCAGAGUCUCUUCUGACAUGCAUUUUGAUCUUUUCUCUCUUUCCUGUCUUUUUAAUGACCUUUUGCUUUCUUCAUGUAUGAUGUCCUUGAUGUCAUCCCACAACUCGUCUGGUCUUUGGUCAUUAGUGUUCAGUGCAUCAAAUCUAUUCUUGAGAUGGUCUCUAAAUUCAGUUGGGAUGUCCUUGGCGUAGUAGUUAAGUGCUACGGCUGCUAACCAAAGGGUCGGCAGUUCGAAUCCACCAAACGUUCCUUAGAAACUCUAUGGGACAGUUCUACUCCAUCCUAUAGGGUCGCUAUGAGUCAGAAUCAACUCGAGGGCAGUGGAUGGUGGGUCCUCAAGGUCAUACUUUGGCUCUUGUGAACCUAUUUCAAUUUUUCUCAGCUUCAAGUUGAACUUGAAUAGGAGCAAUUGACGGUCUGUUCUGCAGUCAGCCCCUGGCCUUGUUCUGACUAAUGUUACUGAGCUUCUCCAUUGUCUCUUUCCACUAAUGUAGUCAUUUUGAUUCCUGUAUAUUCCAUCUGGUACGGUUCACAUGUAUAGUCACCGUUUAUGUUUUUGAAAAAAGGUAUUUGCAAUGAAGAAGUCGUUGGUCUUGCAAAAUUUUAUCAUGCAAUCAUCAGCGUCAUUUCCGUCAUCAAAGCCAUAUUCUCCAGCUACCAAUCCUUCUUUGUUUCCAACUUUUGCAUUUCAAUCACCAGUAAUUAUCAAUGCGUCUUGAUUGCAUGUUUGAUCAAUUUCAGACUACAGAAGUUGGCAAAAAUGUUCAAUUGCUCCAUCUUUGGCAUUGGUGGUUUCCGUGUAAAUUUGAAUAAUCAUCAUAUUAACUGGUCUUCCAUUUAGGCGUAUGGAUAUUAUCCUAUCACUGACAGCAUUGUACUUCAGGAUAGAUCUUGAAAUGUUCUUUUUGCCAGUGAAUGUGACACCAUUUCUCUUCAAUUUGUCAUUUCUGGCAUAGCAAGCCAUAUGAUUGUCUGAUUCAAAAUGGCCAAACCAGUCCUUUUCAGCUCACUAAUGCCUAGGGUAUCUAUCUUUAUGCAUUCCACUUCAUUUUUGAUGACUUCCAAUUUUCCUAGAUCCAUACUUGGUACAUUCUGUGUUCCUAUUAUUAAUGAAUGUUUGAGCUGUUCUCAUUUUGAGUCGUGCCACAUCAGCAAAUGAAGGUCCUGAAAGCUUUACCCAGUAUACGUCAUUAAGCUCUUCUUUCCCAGUCAUCUUUUGAGUGCCUUCCAACGUGAGGGGCUCAUCUUCUGGCACUGUAUCAGACAAUGUUUCACUGCUAUGCAUGAGAUUUUCCCUGACCAAUUUUUUCAAAAGUAGACUGCCAGGUCUUUCUUCCUAGUCGGUGUUAGUCUGAAAGCUCCUCUGAAACCUAACCACCAUGGAUGACUCUGCUGGUAUUUGAAAUCCCAGUGAGUGGCAUAGCUUCUAGCAUCACAGCAACACGUAAGCACCACAGUACAACAAAGUGACAGAUGCAGGGAGUUAGGAACCCUAAAUAUUAUAAUGUUCUAUGACCCUGAGUAGGUCACUUUAACCUCCCAGGAUAAUCUGUAAAAUGAAUGAUUGAACUAAACGGCCCUAUUUCUUCUAGCUCUAAUAGUCCCAUACUCUGAAUAGUUAGAAUUCACUCAUCCUAGAUUCUGUUAAGUCUUUACAUGUUAGAAUGGCAUGGCUGUUACCCUGUCGGCUAAUACAGGCUCAAAUCUUACAUCCCCUCCAGAGAAUGUACAUCCCUGUGAGUGACUUGAUAGCAGGCUUCCAAAAUUAGCUAGCUUUAUUUUCCAGAUGUCAGUACCCUUCAUACAGAGAGUCAGGCAUACUCAGAAUCGGUCUGCUGAAGUUCCCACAGCAUGGUACACCAUGGCUUCCCCAUCUGAUCCUUGCUCCCCAGUAGAUAAGGAGCCUACUGUGUGUCAAAACUACACUAACUAGGUACUUAUAAUAUGUCACUGUAUUAACCCUUACAGUAAUCCUGAGAGGUGGGUUUGUCAUUUUCAUUUUACAGGUGAGAAAAUUUUAUAAGAACUAGUUAGUUGUGGGAGCCCUGGUGGCGCAGUGGUUAAGAGCUCGACUGGUAACCAAAAGGUCAGCAGUUCAAGUCCACCAGGUGCUCCUUGGAAACCUUAUGGGGCAGUUCUACUCUGUCCUGUAGGGUCGCUAUGAGUCAGAAUCGACUCGGCGGCAAAGGAUUUGAGUUUUUGAUUGACCUAGGAAUAUGAAGGAUGUGCCCAUAUUUCCUGCAUUAAUUUAGAAUCAACCUGCAACAGCUGCCUGGGGCUAGCUUCUGCCCUCUCCUUCCUUUCAACAUAGUGCUGCAGUUGAAAGUUAGGUGGCUGUCCCUGAUCUAAACUUUCGCUUUUUCCUUAGGAAAUUCUUAGUCAAAUGUUGGACAGAUAGCAGAGUAUAGUGAUGACUGAAGUAAAAAAAAAAAAAAAAACAUUGUUUAUGAUAGGGAGAAUUAAGAAUAGCUUUAAUAUCUAUUUAAUGGUUAAAAACAAACUCCAUGAGGACCAGGACCAUCAUUGACCCAUACUAGUUCACUGUACAGGCAGUCCCUGGAUUACAAAUGAGUUCCAUCUCUGAGUCUGCCUUUAAGUCAAAUUUGUAUGUUAAGUCAGAACAGUUAGGUACCGGACGGUAUCUAAUAUCAGUUAGUCAAAAGUUUGAGUAUAUAGCAUAUAGUGUGCCUCUCUAUGCAUAAAAAACAUUAAAGAAACAAUUUCAGAUACACUAAAACAUAUUUAACAUAAUAAUAAUAAUGUUGUGAUGUGCAUCACAAAGUAGCACUUGUUUGUUAUUAUGAGCCACUGUAUGUACCUUGAAUUUUUAAUAUAAUAGGCUUUACGGGGGGUUGGUUCAUAACAGCUGGUUGUAAGUAAGUUGGACUUCCGUAACCUGUAGACUGCCUGUAUUCUCAUUGCCUAAUACAGAACCUAAGUAUUCAAUUUUUCUCGAUUGAAUGAAUAAAUUAAUAUAUUCAUAGGCACUAAAAUCCUGAAAUACAAUGCAGCCAUUAAAAAUUAUGUUUUCUAAGAGCAAUCCCAUUCUUUGUUAUUUACCCAAAAACCUGAAUGUAAAUAUAUAGCAACUUUAUUCAUAAUCACCAAAAACUAGAAAGAGUUCAAAUGUCCUUCAACUGGUGAAUGGCUAUUUAAAAGUCCAUAUCUUUUUUUUUUUUUUAUAGUAUAUAAUACUGUUGUUGUUUGACACCCUCCAGUCUGCUCAGACUCAUAGGGACCUUAUGUAUAACAGAAUUACAAUAAUAAGAACCAAAUUGCCAAUGAUAGGCAACAGCAUGGAUGAAUCGUAAAUGCAUUAUGUAAAUGAAAGAAGUCUCACUCAAAACUUACUGGUUGCUGGGGCUCGGGGAAGGGUUAACUACAAAGGGACGCAGGGAAAUUUUUGAAGGUGAUGGAAUUAUUCUAUAUUUUGAUUGUGGUGGUGGUUGCACAACUGUAUGCAUUCAUCAAAACUCAUGGAGCUGUAUGCUAAAAAGGGUUAAUUUUAUGUAUAUAAAUUAAACCUCAAUAAACCUGACUUUAAACUACACUUAAGAUUUUUCUUAAAUUUGAUAGUGCCCUUGAAUACAUGGUAGGAUAUACCUGAUAUAUUCUUAAGUUAAAAUAUGCAAUGAUAGUUACAAAACAGUAUAUAAUGGUACUUUUUUUUUAAACAUACAUACAUACGUGUGUGUGUCUAUAGAUUAUAUAAAUGUAUUUAUAUGUCCAUCCAGAACAAGAUUCUAAAGAAUAAACACCAAACUGGUAAUGACAGUUACCUUGAGGCAGGCAACUGAAUUUGGAGUAAGUGAUUUAAGGAGACCUUAAAAAAAAAAUUUUUUUUUUUUUUAACUUUAUAUGGAAACCCUGGUAGCGUAGCGGUCAAGAGCUACGGCUGCUAACGAAAAUGUCGGCAGUUCAAAUCCAGGUGCUCCUUGGAAACUCUGUGGGGCAGUUCUACCCUGUGCUAUACUCAAUGGCAGCGAGGUAAUGGGUAACUUUAUAUGUUACUGUUUGAAUUUUUACAAGAAUAUACUUAUGUAUUAUGUAAUUAAAAAGUAAACAUUUCAGAGACUAGAAGAAUAAAAAAAAUAAAACCCAAAAUGUCAAUCGUAGUUAUCUCUGGCUAUUAGUACUACAGGUGAUUGUUAUUUUAUUUUCUAAUUUUUCUGCUAAACAAGUUCUGCUUUUGUAAUUAGAAAAAAGUUAUUUAAAAAAAGCAGAAAGCAUACUGAGUCAUAAAAAACGUAUGCAAGUUACAAAUGUGAACGUUAUUAAAAAUUCUCAAAACAAAGUUUCACUGGAAAAAGAAUUUGGAUACUCCCUCUGGAACAGUGCUUCUCUCAAACUUAACGUCCAUAUAAAUCAUCUGGAGUUCUUGCUAAAAUGCAGAUUCUGAUUCAUUAGGUCUGGAGUGGGACCUGAGGAUUUGCAUUUCUAUCAAGCGCUAGUGCUGUUGGUCCAGGGACUACACUUUACUUUGAGUAGCAGGCUCUAAAACUGUGCUGUGGAUACAUCAGCCACAAACUAGCCACAUAUGGCUAUAAAAUAUUUGAAAUGUGGCUACUCUGAGUUGAGGUGUACUGUAAGUGUAAAGGGAAACCCUGGUGGCGUAGUGGCUAAGUGCUACGGCUGCUAACCAAAGGGUCAGCAGUUUGAAUCUGCCAGGCGCUCCUUGGAAACUCUAUGGGGCAGCUCUGCUCUGUCCUAUAAGGUCACUAUGAGUCGGAAUCGACGGCACUGGGUUUUUGGGGUGGAUAAGGGUAAAGGGUCACUAUGAGUUGGAAUUGACUCAAUGGCAGUGGGUUUGGUUUUUGGUUUGGUAAGUAUAAAUGACACCAUGGAUUUCAAAGACUUAAUCCAAAAAGAAAUGUAAAGUAUUAUUAUUCUAUAUUGGUUAAAUGUUGAAAUUUUUAACAUAUUUUAUUAAAUAAAAUAUAUUAUUAAAAUUAAUUUUACCUGUUUCUUUUUACUGUUUUAAUGUGGCUACUAGAAAAUUUUAAAUUACAUUUGUGGUUUGUAUUUUUGGCUUGUAUUAUGUUUCUGUUGGACAGCGCUGCUCUAGAAUAACUACUAUAACAGGAUUUUACUUGUAUAAACUUCAUUCUGGUUCUUAAAUCAUCAGCAUAAUGCAGGAAAAGGAUUAGCACCCCAUUAAUGACUAAAUUAAUAACUUUUGUGUCUUAACAUAAACACUAGUAGGAAUUCUCAAGAUCUAUAUGUAUUUUUUUUUUUUUUAUGUAAGUGGAGGUUGAGACAAAUAGAAAUCUUAGAAUUUUAGAUCUGGAAAGAAACUUUGAAGUCAUCAAGUUCAAAUGCCUCAUCUUAUGGAACUAUUUAUCAGUUUGACAAAGAUUUAUUCAGUCCUUAAUAGAUGCAAGUAUUGAAUAGCUACUUUCAGUAUUUGAUAGGUAAGUGAGUAAGGUGAGGUGCCUACCCUGGAGAGCUAAGAAUGAUUGUGGUAGACCGUAGCAGCCCCCCACGAGGCAUGUUGGCAGAGUACUCUCAAACACAGAAGCAGAGUAAUCUGCAAACACAGAUUCUGUUAUCCUGAGGGUAACAGACUAGCUCCACGUAGGAGAACUGAUAGGAGCUGACUCUUAGUUUCCCCUGGCUUUAUAGCUUCUGGUUGAUAAUAAUGUUGCAAAUAAGGCUUUAGGAUUAAUUAUUUAAAUAAUCGUUGUAAGACAUGCUGUCCCUUCCUUCCUUCUCUCCCACGCAGAAACCCUUUGACAGUUUGAACAUAGUGACUGGUAGCAGAAUGAAAUUUGGAGUAAAGCAGUAGUAUAGUCAAACUUCAAUUACAUGUGCAAAUGUGAGGCAAAAGUUGUGAGAUGAUUAAAAUCUAUGAAUAAAACAAAAAGCUUUUUUUAGCUAUUAUUUUUAAAAACUUAUCAGGAAUAUCUUACCAGAGGCAUUAUUCCUGAAAUUUGUUCUUAUUUGAGUUACAGUUCCCUUCUGUAGAUGAAUGAGAAGACAAAUUUAGGAUAAAUAAUAAAACAUGGGAAUUUAUGAAAGUUUUGACUACUUCAAGAUAUAGUGUAGGCUAAAAAUAUGAAUAGCCUUUUAGAAAUUUUUUGGUUAAAACCUGGGUCCCUCCAUAAUGUUUCAUUCAUUUAUAACAGAUUAUUAAAGGAAUCCAGUUGCUUUGGUAUGCUUUCUUAACCUGUAGAGAAAUGGCUUUAGAGGACAGGCCUCCAUCAUGACACGCACAGACUCCUGGACCCCCUGACCAUGGGUGGGACCUAAUUUGAACACUUAUAUUACUCACUUUCAGCCAAUAUUAAACACUUGCUCAUAUGGAAAAAGUCAAACCUACCUGAGAAUGGCUGGUGGCCCUUGCCUAAGAGUGAGAAACUACCAAAAGCCAUUCAAAACUCAAAUUUGAACUAAGCAGAACAAAAGCUUCUGCCUAAGAAUUUUAACAGCUUUCCUCUGUGUCUCAAAGUAAUCAGAGCAGCCGUCUCCAAACCUUAAUGUUCCCUAGGAACCAGUGAGUUUGUUUGGUUAAUUUUGCUUCAUUCAUACCAAAAAGUAGAGUGUAUUAUAUCUUUCCUUGGUUUUCAAUAUUCCUGAUGAUAUUUUUAGCAGCUUAUUCCCAUACAUGAGCAGUAAUUAUUCAUGGGAAAUGAUUUUAUUUUCUUUAGUAUUCUACCAUCCCACACACAUACAAAUGUGUUGGCUUUAAAGAUGCCUGUCCUUUGGAUAUUAGCAUGUUGUAGGGUACAGGAGAUUCCUUUCUUCAAAUACCUAAAUAGGGAGAUUUUGGAUGGUGAGACAUUUAUAAAAGGUUUAGACUCUGAAAAUAUAUAUACAGUUAUUUAAAUGUAGCCCAAUAAUGCUGUUGUAGUGUAGAUAUGUUUUUUUCCCCCUGAAAUACUAUAUAGCACAGAGUUUUAGAAGAAUAAAACCUUUGAGAAGAAUCAACACACUGUUCAUGUCUUAUAAAACACCAAGACUGCUUUUUUAUUUUCCUGAGUUGCAUCAAUGGAAAAAAUAUAAAAUGAUAAUUAGUCUGACACCUCAUCAGAGGUUUUAUGGAUUUAUAAUUUUGAUCUAUAACACAACUUGUUAUUAUUAGGUGCCAUCAGGUCAGUUCACAACUUAGUACCCUUAUUCAUUUGAGAUUAUUUUAUUAGAUGAGACCUGCAGGCUGUGAAAAAACAAUCUUGUCUUUUUUAAGCUUUCCUUGUCAGGUGGUCAUUAGAAAGCUUCGUGGCAUUUUUUAAAAAACAUUUCUAAUAUUCUGGCUCCCACAAUAAGCUUUUAUGACAUUAAUUUCUUCCUUAGUUUUUUACUUCAGCUGUAAUCUUAGGGAAAAUGGGAAAUACAUAUAGUAAGAAGUACAUUUAAAUUUAUAGUGUACUGAUUCUAUUUUGAGGGUAGUUUUGUAAUAGGGAAGGAAUUCAAACCAGAGAAUCUCAAUCUCGUUUUUGUAAUUAUACAAGAAAGCUGCAAACCUGCCAACAUUCCAUUCACAUUCAGCUAUACGUUUCUGAGGCACACCUACCCUUACUGUUACUGUUGGGUGCUAUCAAAUCGACUUUGACUUAUAGCGACCACAUGUGACAGAGUAGAACUGCCCUAGUUAUCAUGGGAGCAGAUCACCAGGUCUUUCUCUUACGGAGCUGCUGGGUGGGUUCGAACCACAGACGUUUCAAUUAGCAGCUGAGUGCUUAACUGUUAUGCCACAAAGGCUCCUUCUACUCUUGCUGUUGUUGUUGUGUGCCAUCAAGUCGAUUCUGACUCACAGUGACCCUAUAUGACAGAAUAGAACUGCUCCUUAGGGUUUCCUAGGCUGUAAUCCGUAUGGAAGCAGAUUGCCAUGUCUUUUCUCCCUCAGAGCCACUGGUGGUUUUGAACCCCAGACCAUUCAAUUAGCCACCAAGCAUUUAAUCAUUGCGCCAUCAGGGCUCCUCCUACCCUUACUGGAGAGCAGGAUUUGCUCUCUCUGGAGCAGUACAUAUAUAAUAAAGAUGGCUUGUUGUUGUUAAGUGCCAUCAAGUUGCUACUGACUCACAGCGACCCUACGUACGACAAAAUGAAACACUGCCUGAUCCUGUGGGACCCUCACAAUCAUUGCUAUGUUUGAGCCCAUUAUUGCAGCCACUGUGUCAACCCAUCUCAUCAAGGGUCUUCCUCUUAUUUGCUGACCCUCUACCAAGUAUGAUGUCCUUCUCCAGUCACUGGUCCCCUCUGAUAACGUGUCCAAAGUAUGUGAGAGGAAGUCUCACCAUCCUCGCUUCUAAUGAGCACUGUGGCUGUACUUCUUCAAAGACAGACUUGUUCAUUCUUUUGGCACGCCAUCGUAUGUUCAGUAUUCUUCGCCAGCACCUAAUGAAUCAAUUCUUCUUCGAUCUUCCUAUUUCAUCAUCAGCUUUCACAUGCAUAUGAAACUGUUGAAAAUACCACGGGUUGGGUCAGGCACACUUUAGUCCUCAGAGUGACAUAUUUGCUUUUCAACACUUCAAAGAAGUCUUUUUUGCAGCAGAUUUGCCCAAUGUAACACAUCGUUUGAUUUCUUGACUGCUGCUUCCCUGGGCCUUGGUUGUGGAUGGCUAGACACUGAUAACUACUUGCACAGAAAGCUGGGGCAAUUUGGGGACUCACUUCAUUAAUUUUCUUUCUCGAGGAUCACAGUCCCAUGUUGCCUGUGCUCCAACUUCAGAAAAUGGUUGUUUUCUAUAUUUUGUCUAUUUUUAUCAUUUUUUAAUAGCAGGAGAGUUAGUCUAGUACCAGUUACUCCAUCAUUGCCCAACUGUCUUUUUUUGCAUUAACUUCUUUAUAUAUUUUGGAAUUUUGAUUUGCAUAAUCACUUCGAGU